RNAcentral lists this ribosomal RNA (147 nucleotides) under uncultured bacterium. RNAcentral's name for it is "partial 16S ribosomal RNA". It matches the Rfam family "Bacterial small subunit ribosomal RNA", at positions 340 to 504 of the family's 1533-position model. The record is from RNAcentral.
UACGGGAGGCAGCAGUGGGGAAUAUUGGACAAUGGGCGAAAGCCUGAUGCAGCCAUGCCGCGUGAAUGAUGAAGGCCUUAGGGUUGUAAAGUUCUUUCACCGGGGAAGAUAAUGACUGUACCCGCAGAAGAAGCUCCGGCUAACUUC